GAUGAACGCUAGCGGCAGGCUUAAUACAUGCAAGUCAUGGGGCAGCAGGUUUGUAGCAAUACAGAUGCUGGCGACCGGCAAACGGGUGCGGAACACGUACAGAACCUUCCUUUGAGCGGGGAAUAGCCCAGAGAAAUUUGGAUUAAUACCCCAUAGUAUAAUGAAGUGACAUCACUUUAUUAUUAAAGAUUUAUCACUCGAAGAUGGCUGUGCGGCUGAUUAGGUAGUUGGCGGGGUAAAGGCCCACCAAGCCUGCGAUCAGUAACUGGUGUGAGAGCACGACCAGUCACACGGGCACUGAGACACGGGCCCGACUCCUACGGGAGGCAGCAGUAAGGAAUAUUGGUCAAUGGAGGCAACUCUGAACCAGCCAUGCCGCGUGGAGGAUGAAGGUCCUCUGGAUUGUAAACCUCUUUAUAUGGGACGAAAAAGGCUUUUCUAAGUCGUCUGACGGUACCAUAUGAAUAAGCACCGGCUAACUCCGUGCCAGCAGCCG
Molecule: ribosomal RNA, 496 nt
Filed under: uncultured bacterium
Lineage: Bacteria
Description: bacterial SSU rRNA
Rfam family: Bacterial small subunit ribosomal RNA
Source: RNAcentral